This 449-nucleotide ribosomal RNA is filed under the name uncultured prokaryote. RNAcentral describes it as "bacterial SSU rRNA". It matches the Rfam family "Bacterial small subunit ribosomal RNA", at positions 355 to 796 of the family's 1533-position model. The record is from RNAcentral.
UGGGGAAUUUUGCGCAAUGGGCGAAAGCCUGACGCAGCGACGCCGCGUGUGCGAUGAAGGCCCUUGGGUCGUAAAGCACUGUCAACUGGGACGAAAACACCUUUGCGAAUAGCAAGGGUGCUUGACGGUACCAGUAAAGGAAGCACCGGCUAACUCUGUGCCAGCAGCCGCGGUAAUACAGAGGGUGCAAACGUUGUUCGGAAUUACUGGGCGUAAAGCGCGUGUAGGCGGUUCGUUAAGUCGACUGUGAAACCCCAUGGCUCAACCAUGGAAGUGCAGUCGAUACUGGCAGACUGGAGUCCCGGAGAGGGUGGUAGAAUUCCCAGUGUAGAGGUGAAAUUCGUAGAUAUUGGGAGGAAUACCGGUGGCGAAGGCGACCACCUGGACGGGUACUGACGCUGAGACGCGAAAGCGUGGGGAGCAAACAGGAUUAGAUACCCCCGUAGUCC